Molecule: ribosomal RNA, 464 nt
Filed under: uncultured bacterium
Lineage: Bacteria
Description: bacterial SSU rRNA
Rfam family: Bacterial small subunit ribosomal RNA
Source: RNAcentral
CCUACGGGUGGCAGCAGUGGGGAAUAUUGCACAAUGGGCGCAAGCCUGAUGCAGCCAUGCCGCGCGUAUGAAGAAGGCCUUCGGGUUGUAAAGUACUUUCAGCGGGGAGGAAGGUGUUGUGGUUAAUAACCACAGCAAUUGACGUUACCCGCAGAAGAAGCACCGGCUAACUCCGUGCCAGCAGCCGCGGUAAAACGGAGGGUGCAAGCGUUAAUCGGAAUUACUGGGCGUAAAGCGCACGCAGGCGGUCUGUCAAGUCGGAUGUGAUAUCCCCGGGCUCAACCUGGGAACUGCAUUCGAAACUGGCAGGCUAGAGUCUUGUAGAGGGGGGUAGAAUUCCAGGUGUAGCGGUGAAAUGCGUAGAGAUCUGGAGGAGUACCGGUGGCGAAGGCGGCCCCCUGGACAAAGACUGACGCUCAGGUGCGAGAGCGUGGGGAGCAAACAGGAUUAGAUACCCGCGUAGU